RNAcentral lists this long non-coding RNA (2922 nucleotides) under Sus scrofa (pig). RNAcentral describes it as "lncRNA (ENSSSCG00050049380.1)". Lineage: Eukaryota; Metazoa; Chordata; Mammalia; Artiodactyla; Suidae. The record is from RNAcentral.
AGGUACUUUCUCACCAUUGCAGAACCAAGCUUAAAUGUUAGCUUUCCAAACAAGUCUUUUCCUGACCAAAGUAAAUCCUUCCCAUUAGGCCCUUUCAUAGCACACAGUAUUGUAGCCUCAGAGACAUUAUCAUAAUUAUAAUUGUGUAUUACGAAUCCAUUAACUCAUUAUCAGUCUCUCCCAUUACAUCCUAGAGUUCUUGGAAGAAGAGAACAGUACAUUUGACUCUGCAUCCACGACACCAAGCUGCCUGCCCCAAGGCAGGUGUUAAUAAAUAUUUCUGAACAAAUGAAAAUAGAUUCAGAUGUGCUGUAAAUAUCACACUGGUUAAGAGACUUAGCUGUGAUGUUUACUGAUAGAGUAGUUUCAACAUCAUUAUCCAACAUCAGUGUCAUAUAGGGUUCUUCUUUAUUUAUACAGCAUCUUAUAUUUUUCAGAACAAGUCUGAAUUUUUUUUUUUUUUUUUUUGUCUUUUUGCCUUUGAGGGCCACACCCGAGGCAUAGACCCCCUAGGUUCCCAGGCUAGGGGUGUAAUCUGAGCUGUAGCCACCGGCCUACACCAGAACCACAGCAACGCGGGAUCUGAGCCCCAUCUGCAACCUAGACCACAGCUCAUGGCAACGCCGGAUCCUUAACCCACUGAGCCAGGCCAGGGAUCAAACCCACAGCCUCAUGGUUCCUAGCUGGGUUUGUUAACCACUGAGCCACGACAGGAACUCCAAUUUUUUUAAGUGCGAACAUACAGUUUACUAGCUUCCUAUUGAACUGGGAAACAAUAUAAAAUAUAAAAUGUCCUUGGUGUAUUUAGUGCCAAGCCAUACAAAUAUAUGUCUUUGUGUACAUGAGCACAUGUGCACAUGUGUCAAAACACACCCAUAAGCAGAUUCCUAGCCAGGAGCUCUGCUGGACACUGUCUUGAUAGAGAUAUGUGAGACUUUAUCCCCUGAGUUCUUUCCUCUCUUGAAACUUUUCAAAAAUUACUUUUUUAACCUACAUUUUACUUUAACAUCCAAGAGGUCUAACAUGAAAUUUCAGAUAAAGUACCAUAUAGAGGGACUGAAUCUAAAACAGACUUGAAUUUACAAUAAAAAGGUUAUGAUACCUAGAGAACCCAGGAUGACAGGAUUUUUUUUCUUAAGUAGGUCAGUUCAAAUGGGUACCACAUGAAAAAGGAAGAGGGGUUUGAAAACAAGAAAAAUAAAAAAUAACAAUAGGUUAGGAUUAUUCAUCUACAUAGAAGACCAUAAAACAAUUUUUAACCUUCAUGUUUAAGAAAAUAAAAGGCAGAUUUUAAGAGCUAUUGGAAGAGUACAAGGUGUAACUUUCAAUUAUAGUUUUAAUAGUUAAUAAUUAGAUGGUAAGUUUUUUAAAAGUAAGGAAAUUGUUUUGUCCUUUGCAGAACUCCAGCAUCCAAAAUAGUGUCUGAUAUGUAGUAGGCAAUCGGUAAAUACCUGUUAAAUGAAUAAAGGCAAUAAUAGCAACUUCUAUAAACACUUUCUCAAAUAUUGUGCUUAAAAAGCUCAUAAAUAAGAUACCAACUAACCAUCACAUCAACCUUAGGAGGAAGGUUUAUCAUUACCCUUUUAUAAAUGAAUUAACACAGUCCAAAUAAUUUCUCCAAGAUCUGAGAGCAAAGCUAGCAUUCACAUCCAGGACUAGUUGACUGCAGAGCCUGCAUUUAUAACCACCAUUCUAAACAGGCUUUUUGGACAUGCAGCACUGAAUGGAAGAGAAAUGCAACCACGUUUAAAGGAUGUGCAGAAAGAAAAAUCAGAAUAUAAGAUGAACUACAGAGUUGGAGAACGGCACCUAUUUCUGUGCAAUCAGUUCAGUGAAGCUGCAAGUACGAUGCCACAGGAUAUUAUGGAGGUGGCUAAAGGCAGGAUGGGGGUGGGAAAGGGAGUCCAGAAAGAAUAGAUAGCAAACAAAUAAAGAGCUUAUUCCUUUCCAGAGUAACAACUAUACCGCUAGCCGCAACAUUGCCAGUGCUGUCAGAAGAACCUUACAGAAAUGAGGCAGACCCUGUUUUUCAAAAGAGUAAUAAUGAAAAAAUAAAGUCCUGUGGUGCUUUUCCUCUAUCUGCCCUGCUUAUAAAUUCAUAGCACAGCAUGGCGGUUAUUAAAAUCCCAUAUGUGAGAACCACACACAGCACAAAGAGAUAUGAAUUGGCGUUCCACGGAGAUAAUGCUAUCUAAUGGGCAAAACAAGUAGUAGGGUUUCAUUUUUAUUCCGAGUACAUUUGCAAAGGGCUCAGCAGCUAGCUACUUCGCAUGGAUAGCUGACCAUCCAAAGACUGUUUCUCCCCUUCCUUCCUAUGGAUUAAUAAGUGGGAUAUACAAGAGUAGGGUCGUGAUCUGCCCAAGUUUGGAUAUUCCCAUGACAUUUUUUUCUUUGCUUUCAACUUUUGAAAUAGAGUGGAUUAAGAUUGUCUCCAGUUGCCCUGGCACAGAAGAAGGGCAGAGCACAACCACUCUAUCCCUGCAUGGCAUCAGGCAGGCGCGGGAGUCUGAAGGGGCUCACCAUUUCUGGUCCAGGAGUGCACCAGAAACUCGCCUCGUAGCCCAGCACAAGCUGGCUUACACUUGGUUAUUUUUGGGUUCCUUUCUUCCCAGGUUUGUGUCUUUCUUUGGUCAGAAAAGGCUGCUGAAUGUCCUAUUAAAGGAAAUCAAAUAUGACUAACAGCAACAAAUGUUCGUCUAUGUGCUCUGACAGAGUGGAAAGCAGCAUCCUAGACCAGAAAGCCAAUUUUAAGAAUAUCCUAUGAUCUUAACCAACAGAAAACCUUAUAUCUGAAAUUUCCUAAGUAACUUAGUGCUGGAAUUUAAGGCAAACCAAUGGCAUCUUUUUAAUGCAUUUACUCUGAAGUCCCAAUAUUUUCAAAAGCAGGUAAAUUCUUGUCCAUAGAUACCUGGACCAGGUUAU